UCAAGAAACUUCCACAAUGGGCGAAAGCCUGAUGGAGCGACGUCGCGUGAUGGACGAAGUGCUUCGGCACGUAAACAUCUUUUAUGUGGGAUGAAAUUAUUGACAGUACCACAUGAAUAAGGGGCUCCUAACUCUGUGCCAGCAGGAGCGGUAAUACAGAGGCCCCAAGCGUUAUCCGGAAUCACUGGGCGUAAAGGGUGUCGAGGCGGUUGUAUUAGUCGUUCGUAAAAUCUACGAGCUUAACUUGUAGGCGGCGAACGAAACGGUACGACUUGAGGUUUGGAGAGGUGCGUGGAACUCACGGUGUAGGGGUGAAAUCCGUUGAUAUUAGGAAGAACACCAGUGGCGAAGGCGGCUCACUGGCCCGAUACUGACGCUGAGGUGCGAAAGCGUGGGGAGCAAACAGGAUUAGAU
This 414-nucleotide ribosomal RNA is filed under the name uncultured bacterium. RNAcentral describes it as "bacterial SSU rRNA". It matches the Rfam family "Bacterial small subunit ribosomal RNA", at positions 355 to 783 of the family's 1533-position model. The record is from RNAcentral.